UAAUCUACCAGUAAACCUAAAGUAUAACUACCGUAAAAUCUGAAUAGCUGGUUAACACGAGUUUAACUAAACAUGUUUUUGAUCUGCAUUCAGCUCGGGAUUAACUGAUGGAGUUUAUUCACGAUUAACCUCUCAUCUAGAAAUUAAUGUUACGUGUACCCUGCACUUCUGAAAUACAGAGAUUCUUCUUCGAGACCAAGACAAUGCUGCCAUUUUGAAGCAGCACUGCCAGCAAAACAGACUUGAUUUGGAGGAAACAUCAAGGACAUAGAUGUUUUCAUAUUUUUUUUUUCUUUUCCCUUAUAAUUCUUACCAAGCUUACUAGUGUGCCAAUUUUUGUUCUUCCUUCAGUAAUUCUGUAAUUUUCCAAGGACCUUCCCAUAAUCUUUGCAUUCUGUUGACAAAGAAGGCCUUUGUGUAUUAUUCCGGUAACUGUGUUUUGCCAUAUCUAACAAAUAAAACAAGAAGGCGUUUUAUUAUUCCCGG
This is a long non-coding RNA of Acipenser ruthenus (sterlet), 486 nucleotides long. RefSeq lists it as uncharacterized. The record is from RefSeq and is a predicted model, not a curated record. The transcript is spliced from 2 exons. NCBI's taxonomy places the organism in Eukaryota, Metazoa, Chordata, Actinopteri, Acipenseriformes, Acipenseridae.